Molecule: long non-coding RNA, 843 nt
Filed under: Anas platyrhynchos platyrhynchos (common mallard)
Lineage: Eukaryota; Metazoa; Chordata; Aves; Anseriformes; Anatidae
Description: lncRNA (ENSAPLG00000029550.1)
Source: RNAcentral
UCAGAUCCCCAAAAAUUCAUGAAAUGAACUUAAAAGCAGUGAAGAAAAAAGAAAACAGCACAGGGUUUUUAUUUUAAUUUUUAGUUGCCUUUUUUGGAACCUUAGGCUUCUUGUGUUUUCAAACUUCUCACUACAAACAUGUAGCCUAGAAACUUUCUUUUCAACACAUAAUUGCACAACAGGGGCCUUAAGGACAUACUAUGCAACUUGCAAGAAAAUAACUGGAUUUGGCACCAUCACCAAGGCAGACACAUACAUCAUUAUUCCAAAGGAAGGCUUGCUGGACUGGCUGCACUGCAGAGCACAAACUGGCCUCUACUUCAGUCCCGUGACUCAGAAGAGAAAUGUGUCCUUGACAAGCUGUCUCCUAGCACAGAUACAUCUGGAACAUGCAGCAAUCUUUGGAAAGGUUGAAUAAAGCUAGAGAUGUUCAUUGCCAAGGUACUCAGCUCCUCUUGUGCACUGUGCCUUGGAGUGUGACUUGUGCAGCCUCCAGAGGGAACUCUGACUGCUGCACACUUGGGAAAGACCCUCUGCUCCUUGGGAACCUGCUACCUCUGCUUUCUGGAGAUGCCUGGUCAGUGGCUUAGUCAUGGCUUUUGGCUUCUCUUCUGCCAUCUAUCACGAGUUCCUGGGUGGUCCAGCUCAGUGAAUGCAUCUGUCUGUAAAAUAACCAUCCGGGUAGAAACAAAUUGUAAUGCUUGAGAAAAGUGUGCUUUUGCAUACAGAUUGUUUAAAAAUCAGUAUCUUUAGUAUUUCCUACUGCCUUCCUAUUUUUUUUUUCCUGCUGGAAGCGGAUGUUGCAUCAAUAAAAGCUAUGACAAAAGACUUGUACUAUACUCA